GGGUGAGUAACACGUGGGUAAUCUGCCUUAUACAGGGGGAUAACAGUUAGAAAUGACUGCUAAUACCGCAUAAGCGCACGGGGACGCAUGUUUCUGUGUGAAAAACUCCGGUAGUAUAAGAUGAGCCCGCGUCUGAUUAGCUGGUUGGUGGGGUAACGGCCUAUCAAGGCGACGAUCAGUAGCCGGCCUGAGAGGGUGAACGUCCACAUUGGGACUGAGACACGGCCCAAACUCCUACGGGAGGCAGCAGUGGGGAAUAUUGCACAAUGGGGGAAACCCUGAUGCAGCGACGCCGCGUGAGUGAAGAAGUAUUUCGGUAUGUAAAGCUCUAUCAGCAGGGAAGAAAAAAGACGAUACCUGACUAAGAAGCCCCGGCUAACUACGUGCCAGCAGCCGCGGUAAUACGUAGGGGGCAAGCGUUAUCCGGAUUUACUGGGUGUAAAGGGAGCGUAGACGGCGCGGCAAGUCUGAAGUGAAAGGCAGGGGCUUAACCCCUGAACUGCUUUGGAAACUGCCAUGCUAGAGUGCUGGAGAGGUAAGUGGAAUUCCUAGUGUAGCGGUGAAAUGCGUAGAUAUUAGGAGGAACACCAGUGGCGAAGGCGGCUUACUGGACAGUAACUGACGUUGAGGCUCGAAAGCGUGGGGAGCAAACAGGAUUAGAUACCCUGGUAGUCCACGCCGUAA
This 684-nucleotide ribosomal RNA is filed under the name uncultured bacterium. RNAcentral describes it as "bacterial SSU rRNA". It matches the Rfam family "Bacterial small subunit ribosomal RNA", at positions 104 to 805 of the family's 1533-position model. The record is from RNAcentral.